GUAGGUGGCAAGCGUUGUCCGGAAUUAUUGGGCGUAAAGCGCGCGCAGGCGGUUCUUUAAGUCUGAUGUGAAAGCCCACGGGCUCAACCGUGGAGGGUCAAUUGGAAACUGGAGAACUUGAGUACAGAAGAGGAAAGCGGAAUUCCACGUGUAGCGGUGAAAUGCGUAGAGAUGUGGAGGAACACCAGUGGCGAAGGCGGCUUUCUGGUCUGUAACUGACGCUGAGGCGCGAAAGCGUGGGGAGCAAACAGGAUUAGAUACCCUGGUAGUCCACGCCGUAAACGAUGAGUGCUAAGUGUUAGGGGGUUUCCGCCCCUUAGUGCUGCAGCUAACGCAUUAAGCACUCCGCCUGGGGAGUACGGCCGCAAGGCUG
Molecule: ribosomal RNA, 373 nt
Filed under: uncultured organism
Description: partial 16S ribosomal RNA
Rfam family: Bacterial small subunit ribosomal RNA
Source: RNAcentral